AGAGUUUGAUCCUGGCUCAGGAUGAACGCUGGCGGCGUGCCUAAUACAUGCAAGUCGAGCGAACGGACGAGAAGCUUGCUUCUCUGAUGUUAGCGGCGGACGGGUGAGUAACACGUGGAUAACCUACCUAUAAGACUGGGAUAACUUCGGGAAACCGGAGCUAAUACCGGAUAAUAUUUUGAACCGCAUGGUUCAAAAGUGAAAGACGGUCUUGCUGUCACUUAUAGAUGGAUCCGCGCUGCAUUAGCUAGUUGGUAAGGUGACGGCUUACCAAGGCAACGAUGCAUAGCCGACCUGAGAGGGUGAUCGGCCACACUGGAACUGAGACACGGUCCAGACUCCUACGGGAGGCAGCAGUAGGGAAUCUUCCGCAAUGGGCGAAAGCCUGACGGAGCAACGCCGCGUGAGUGAUGAAGGUCUUCGGAUCGUAAAACUCUGUUAUUAGGGAAGAACAUAUGUGUAAGUAACUGUGCACAUCUUGACGGUACCUAAUCAGAAAGCCACGGCUAACUACGUGCCAGCAGCCGCGGUAAUACGUAGGUGGCAAGCGUUAUCCGGAAUUAUUGGGCGUAAAGCGCGCGUAGGCGGUUUUUUAAGUCUGAUGUGAAAGCCCACGGCUCAACCGUGGAGGGUCAUUGGAAACUGGAAAACUUGAGUGCAGAAGAGGAAAGUGGAAUUCCAUGUGUAGCGGUGAAAUGCGCAGAGAUAUGGAGGAACACCAGUGGCGAAGGCGACUUUCUGGUCUGUAACUGACGCUGAUGUGCGAAAGCGUGGGGAUCAAACAGGAUUAGAUACCCUGGUAGUCCACGCCGUAAACGAUGAGUGCUAAGUGUUAGGGGGUUUCCGCCCCUUAGUGCUGCAGCUAACGCAUUAAGCACUCCGCCUGGGGAGUACGACCGCAAGGUUGAAACUCAAAGGAAUUGACGGGGACCCGCACAAGCGGUGGAGCAUGUGGUUUAAUUCGAAGCAACGCGAAGAACCUUACCAAAUCUUGACAUCCUUUGACAACUCUAGAGAUAGAGCCUUCCCCUUCGGGGGACAAAGUGACAGGUGGUGCAUGGUUGUCGUCAGCUCGUGUCGUGAGAUGUUGGGUUAAGUCCCGCAACGAGCGCAACCCUUAAGCUUAGUUGCCAUCAUUAAGUUGGGCACUCUAAGUUGACUGCCGGUGACAAACCGGAGGAAGGUGGGGAUGACGUCAAAUCAUCAUGCCCCUUAUGAUUUGGGCUACACACGUGCUACAAUGGACAAUACAAAGGGCAGCGAAACCGCGAGGUCAAGCAAAUCCCAUAAAGUUGUUCUCAGUUCGGAUUGUAGUCUGCAACUCGACUACAUGAAGCUGGAAUCGCUAGUAAUCGUAGAUCAGCAUGCUACGGUGAAUACGUUCCCGGGUCUUGUACACACCGCCCGUCACACCACGAGAGUUUGUAACACCCGAAGCCGGUGGAGUAACCUUUUAGGAGCUAGCCGUCGAAGGUGGGACAAAUGAUUGGGGUGAAGUCGUAACAAGGUAGCCGUAUCGGAAGGUGCGGCUGGAUCACCU
RNAcentral lists this ribosomal RNA (1540 nucleotides) under Staphylococcus aureus. Its description in RNAcentral is "16S ribosomal RNA". It matches the Rfam family "Bacterial small subunit ribosomal RNA". Lineage: Bacteria; Bacillati; Bacillota; Bacilli; Caryophanales; Staphylococcaceae. The record is from RNAcentral.